UCCUACGGGGCGCAGCAGUGAGGAAUAUUGGUCAAUGGUCGGGAGACUGAACCAGCCAAGCCGCGUGAGGGAGGAAGGUACAGAGUAUCGUAAACCUCUUUUGUCAGGGAACAAAGGCGGGGACGUGUCCCCGGAUGAGUGUACCUGAAGAAAAAGCAUCGGCUAACUCCGUGCCAGCAGCCGCGGUAAUACGGAGGAUGCGAGCGUUAUCCGGAUUUAUUGGGUUUAAAGGGUGCGCAGGCGGUCUGUUAAGUCAGCGGUCAAAGCCCGGGGCUCAACCCCCGCCCGCCGUUGAAACUGGCAGU
Molecule: ribosomal RNA, 305 nt
Filed under: uncultured bacterium
Lineage: Bacteria
Description: bacterial SSU rRNA
Rfam family: Bacterial small subunit ribosomal RNA
Source: RNAcentral